AAGACUUUAAGUUAAAAAAACUAAUAGCCUUCAAAGCUAUAAAUAUAAGGAAAAUCUUUUAAGUCUUA
This 68-nucleotide transfer RNA is filed under the name Prosthiochaeta sp. CAU WL-2019511. RNAcentral describes it as "tRNA-Trp". It matches the Rfam family "tRNA". Rfam says of the family: Transfer RNA (tRNA) molecules are approximately 80 nucleotides in length. Their secondary structure includes four short double-helical elements and three loops (D, anti-codon, and T loops). Lineage: Eukaryota; Metazoa; Arthropoda; Insecta; Diptera; Platystomatidae. The record is from RNAcentral.